CGUCUAAAAGAAUCCGAAUCUAGGUCAUUGCAAUUAAAAAAAAAAAAAAGAAAAAAAAAGAAAACCCCCAAAAAUAUCUGAAGAAAAAGCACAAAUUGGAUUGGUUGAUUACGUGUAUAGAUCAAGUGGGGGCAGCCCAAGCUUUAGCCUCCCCCACACUGUAACACUAUAAAACGUGAAACCUUCUUCAGUUUCAGAUAUUUCCACUCUCUCUUCUUUCUCUCUCUGAGAACAAAAACCUUUCGUCUUCUUAUUGUUGCAAAAUUUCUGUACUCAAACAGAUCUCCUCUAUUUUUUUUUUUUCAGAUUUUUUUCCUUCUCUUUUCUCUCCGAUUUUCCCCAAGAUUUCAAUAUUUUUCUUGAAAAUUUUUUUUAUGCAAAAUUCUUCGAGUUUCUGUCGAUGACUCGCUGCGUUUUUGAGAUUUAUCAACGCUUUAAUGUGGUUUCUCUUCAUUUGAAUUAUCCGCUCCUGAUAUUUGGAGGAGCAACGGAGUCAGCUGAUGCCGUUUGGCUUUGAGGUCAGAACUUUUUGAAGUUAUAGAUGCUCUUUUGUGCUCUGUUGGUUUGAAGUUGCCGAAACUAAAUUUUCUACUUGAUGUCUGGCCAUGUGAAGGUCUCUUUGGCAACUUUUCUGAUUGAGUCAUCAAAGGAAAAAAGGGUCUGACAUUAAGAUUAUGGAAAGCAACUGGAAGACGUGAUUAAAAUAAUUGUUCUAUGAGUUCAUACCCCAAUUUCGUAGCUCUUGCUGGUGUCUCAUAGUUCUGUUGCUGUGGCUGGCUUAGCUGAAGAUGGACAGGUGCAUGGGAUUCCUCAGCACUGCCAAGGCCAUUGGAGCUAAGGUAUUUGUUGAAGGUGUUGAAAGACGCUAGACUGAUACAGCAACAAGUCAAUCAUUUACACGUUAGUCCAUUACAACGAAAGAAUUUGGAAAGAAGAUAAUUAUGAAUUGCAUCAUUCUAUAAUUUGCAAGGGUGGCAUAUCACAAUUUGCAGUUUGGGGUGAUGCUUGUAAACUAAAUUACACUUGCAUCAUGAUACAACUGAAAAGUGCCUGAAUACUUCUCUAAGAAAAAUAUUAUUUUAUAAGUAAGUACAUUGUUAUCAGAGGAUGAAAAACUCACUUCUCCCUGGUGAGGGGUGGGAGUUUGAGGAAAUGGGAAUAGGGAGAAGGCCAGUAGCUGCCUGGUCCCAUUUCGCAUGAUGAACAUGCUUGGCAUGCCUCAAGAGACAUGGGAUCACAUGGAGACAAGUGAUGUCUGCAGGUAUUUGACUAUAAAUAAUAACACAACUCACCUAUCAAAAGUUUCCAAUUACUUGUUUUUGCUCAAUUUCACUCUUUUCAGGACCAUGAAAAAUUAAUAUUCAAGGAAAAGAUCAUACCGAUGAUUUUCUUGUAAGUUCUGCAGUUGUUGCCUCAACAUUGCUGCCUCCCUUUGCCAGAACUAGUAAAAAAAAAAAAAUGCAAAGUUUAUCAACAUAUCACCUAUUCUGCAAUUACCAAAAGCUGAAUAUCAUAAACUUUUUCAUUUCAGUUUCUGUUACACUCCUAUUUAUUUGUUAGUGGUUGAUUUUUUGACAUAACUUGCUUCUGAUUUUGCAAUAUCCAGUGACCACAUGAUAGAUAACGUAACAGUUAUGGGAUGUAUGAGAUUUGCAAAAUAAUUUGAUGAAAGUGUCACAAAAGAGCAUUUCUCAAUGGGAAGUAACUGAACUGUUUCUUAGUAGUAAGCCUUAAUUUAUGAUAACUCGGCCCAUCUCAUUGAAAUGACUUUAUCUAUGAAAAAGUGGUCACCAACCCGUUAACAGAGGAGGUUUGUGGUGUUAGAGCGGCAACAUAAAGCAUGUAGGUACAUGUUAUGAAAUUGAACAGUAACAGAAAGGCCUUUUUUUGUUCUAAGUUGACAUUAUAUUUUGAAUACAAAUAAGGUGGUCAUUGUCUAUGCUAUGAUAAUGUUAAAACAGAUAGGACACAGAUGCUGUCUUCUCAACAUGGUGGAAGCUAGGGUAGUUGUGUUUAAUAUUGUUUUGCCAAGGGCUUCUUGAAUUGAAAAUUGUUGUUACUUUGUGUAUGUUGUUUCUAUCAGUAAGCAGUUUGCUUAAGGAAAAUGACAAAGUUCAACUUGUUCUUUGUGUCAUAUAGCUAGGUGCACAAAAGAUUUAGACUCAAGAAGACCAGAAACAUGUAAGUUAUGGUUAUGGAUGAAUACAGUGUAAAAAUGAAGUCUUACCAUGUAUAAGAUUCAAGUAAAUGUAGUAACAAAGAAAUCUGAGGACUGGGUACUGAAAUACCUUCACUUCAGAGAUUGGGUUUCCCAUCUGAUGAUUUUCUUCUUUUGAUUUGUUGUAUCUUUCGAUUACUGAUUUCAUGCUGUAAGAGGAGAUUUGAAUUUUAUCAGAUAGAAUAGUCGUGCUUUUGUUAACACAAUAUAACAUCUAGGAAUAAAAUGUCACUGAUCACCAUAUGCAUAACUGCACAGGAUGGUAACGUACAUGUUCUGUCACAUUAUGUCUAUUGAAGCAGUAACUGGGAGAUCAUUGCCUAGUUCUUAGAUAUUAAAUAAAUGCAAGCUCGAAUAUAUGUUCUGUAUUUAAUCUAGCUGACUCGGAUUUUGAUGUUGGUUGAUAAAGUUGAUUAUUUUCAUACCCCCUGUUUUGUGCUAAUAAUAGGACAUUCACUUAGCAGGAAUUGAAAUAUAGCAUGAGUGCUAAAUUGAUUGCUUUUUCUCUACAUUAUUGCAGUUUUCCUCUUCAUCUUCUUCUA
Jatropha curcas is the source of this 2760-nucleotide non-coding RNA. NCBI's taxonomy places the organism in Eukaryota, Viridiplantae, Streptophyta, Magnoliopsida, Malpighiales, Euphorbiaceae. The record is from RefSeq and is a predicted model, not a curated record.